ACCAGGUAUGGUGGCACAUACCUGUAAUCCCAGUGACUCAGGAGGCUGAGGCAGGAGGAUUGUAAGUUCCAGGUUAGCCUGGGUAACUUAGUGACAUCCUAUCUCAA
This 107-nucleotide small RNA is filed under the name Marmota monax (woodchuck). The record is from RNAcentral. Lineage: Eukaryota; Metazoa; Chordata; Mammalia; Rodentia; Sciuridae.